GACGAACGCUGGCGGCGUGCUUAACACAUGCAAGUCGAGCGGUAAGGCCCUUUCGGGGGCACACGAGCGGCGAACGGGUGAGUAACACGUGGGUGACCUGCCCUCAGCUCUGGGAUAAGCCUGGGAAACCGGGUCUAAUACCGGAUAUGACUCCAUGACGCAUGUUGUGGGGUGGAAAGCCUUGUGCGGCUGAGGAUGGGCCCGCGGCCUAUCAGCUUGUUGGUGGGGUGANGGCCUACCAAGGCGACGACGGGUAGCCGGCCUGAGAGGGCGACCGGCCACACUGGGACUGAGACACGGCCCAGACUCCUACGGGAGGCAGCAGUGGGGAAUCUUGCGCAAUGGGCGAAAGCCUGACGCAGCGACGCCGCGUGAGGGAUGACGGCCUCGG
Molecule: ribosomal RNA, 391 nt
Filed under: uncultured bacterium
Lineage: Bacteria
Description: bacterial SSU rRNA
Rfam family: Bacterial small subunit ribosomal RNA
Source: RNAcentral